This 162-nucleotide ribosomal RNA is filed under the name Klebsiella pneumoniae. RNAcentral's name for it is "partial 16S ribosomal RNA". It matches the Rfam family "Bacterial small subunit ribosomal RNA", at positions 1 to 158 of the family's 1533-position model. Lineage: Bacteria; Pseudomonadati; Pseudomonadota; Gammaproteobacteria; Enterobacterales; Enterobacteriaceae. The record is from RNAcentral. RNAcentral also lists the same sequence under 3 other names.
AAAUUGAAGAGUUUGAUCAUGGCUCAGAUUGAACGCUGGCGGCAGGCCUAACACAUGCAAGUCGAGCGGUAGCACAGAGAGCUUGCUCUCGGGUGACGAGCGGCGGACGGGUGAGUAAUGUCUGGGAAACUGCCUGAUGGAGGGGGAUAACUACUGGAAACG